This 793-nucleotide ribosomal RNA is filed under the name uncultured bacterium. Its description in RNAcentral is "bacterial SSU rRNA". It matches the Rfam family "Bacterial small subunit ribosomal RNA", at positions 8 to 796 of the family's 1533-position model. The record is from RNAcentral.
AGAGUUUGAUCAUGGCUCAGGAUGAACGCUAGCGGCAGGCUUAAUACAUGCAAGUCGAGGGGCAACAGGGGUAGCAAUACCUGCUGGCGACCGGCAAACGGGUGCGGAACACGUACAGAACCUUCCCUUAAGCGGGGGAUAGCCCAGAGAAAUUUGGAUUAAUACCCCAUAGUAAUGUUUAAUGGCAUCAUUAUACAUUUAAAGAUUUAUCACUUAAGGAUGGCUGUGCGGCUGAUUAGGUAGUUGGUAUGGGUAACGGCCUACCAAGCCUUCGAUCAGUAACUGGUGUGAGAGCACGACCAGUCACACGGGCACUGAGACACGGGCCCGACUCCUACGGGAGGCAGCAGUAAGGAAUAUUGGUCAAUGGACGCAAGUCUGAACCAGCCAUGCCGCGUGAAGGAUAAAGGCCCUCUGGGUUGUAAACUUCUUUUAUCUGGGAAGAAAUGCCUGUUUUUUAACGGGUUUGACGGUACCAGAGGAAUAAGCACCGGCUAACUCCGUGCCAGCAGCCGCGGUAAUACGGAGGGUGCAAGCGUUAUCCGGAUUCACUGGGUUUAAAGGGUGCGUAGGUGGGAAUGUAAGUCAGUGGUGAAAUCUCCGUGCUUAACAUGGAAACUGCCAUUGAUACUAUGUUUCUUGAAUCUUCCGGAGGUCAGCGGAAUAUGUCUGUAGCGGUGAAAUGCUUAGAUAUGACAUAGAACACCAAUUGCGAAGGCAGCUGACUACAGGGGCAUUGACACUGAGGCACGAAAGCGUGGGGAUCAAACAGGAUUAGAUACCCUAGUAGUCC